GAUGAACGCUGGCGGCGUGCCUAACACAUGCAAGUCGAACGAAGCAAUUAAGAUGAAGUUUUCGGAUGGAAUCUUGAUUGACUGAGUGGCGGACGGGUGAGUAACGCGUGGGUAACCUGCCUCAUACAGGGGGAUAACAGUUAGAAAUGACUGCUAAUACCGCAUAAGCACACGUGAUCGCAUGAUCGAGUGUGAAAAACUCCGGUGGUAUGAGAUGGACCCGCGUCUGAUUAGCUAG
RNAcentral lists this ribosomal RNA (238 nucleotides) under uncultured bacterium. Its description in RNAcentral is "partial 16S ribosomal RNA". It matches the Rfam family "Bacterial small subunit ribosomal RNA", at positions 28 to 248 of the family's 1533-position model. The record is from RNAcentral.